UGCUAAAACUCUCUGUAGUUGCCAUGAGC
RNAcentral lists this non-coding RNA (29 nucleotides) under Mus musculus (house mouse). Lineage: Eukaryota; Metazoa; Chordata; Mammalia; Rodentia; Muridae. The record is from RNAcentral.